CCUACGGGUGGCAGCAGUGAGGAAUAUUGGUCAAUGGACGAGAGUCUGAACCAGCCAAGUAGCGUGAAGGAUGACUGCCCUAUGGGUUGUAAACUUCUUUUAUAUGGGAAUAAAAUGUUCCACGUGUGGGAUUUUGUAUGUACCAUAUGAAUAAGGAUCGGCUAACUCCGUGCCAGCAGCCGUGGUAAUACGGAGGAUCCGAGCGUUAUCCGGAUUUAUUGGGUUUAAAGGGAGCGUAGGUGGAUUGUUAAGUCAGUUGUGAAAGUUUGCGGCUCAACCGUAAAAUUGCAGUUGAAACUGGCAGUCUUGAGUACAGUAGAGGUGGGCGGAAUUCGUGGUGUAGCGGUGAAAUGCUUAGAUAUCACGAAGAACUCCGAUUGCGAAGGCAGUUCACUGGACUGCAACUGACACUGAGGCUCGAAAGUGUGGGUAUCAAACAGGAUUAGAUACCCGAGUAGUC
RNAcentral lists this ribosomal RNA (460 nucleotides) under uncultured bacterium. Its description in RNAcentral is "partial 16S ribosomal RNA". It matches the Rfam family "Bacterial small subunit ribosomal RNA", at positions 338 to 795 of the family's 1533-position model. The record is from RNAcentral.